CCUACGGGAGGCAGCAGUGGGGAAUUUUGCACAAUGGGGGAAACCCUGAUGCAGCGACGCCGCGUGAGUGAAGAAGUAAUUCGUUAUGUAAAGCUCUAUCAGCAGGGAAGAAAAUGACGUUACCUGAGUAAUAAGCCCCGGCUAACUACGUGCCAGCAGCCGCGGUAUUACGGAGGGGGCAAGCGUUAUCCGGAUUUACUGGGUGUAACGGGAGCGGAGGCGGAAGUGCAAGUCUGGAGUGAAAGGCGGGGGCUCAACCCCCGGGUUGCUCUGGAAACUGUGCGGCUGGAGUGCAGAAGAGGUAAGUGGAAUUCCUAGUGUAGCGGUGAAAUGCGUAGAUAUUAGGAGGAACACCAGUGGCGAAGGCGGCUUACUGGACUGUAACUGACGUUGAGGCUCGAAAGCGUGGGGAGCAAACAGGAUUAGAUACCCGGGUAGUC
This 440-nucleotide ribosomal RNA is filed under the name uncultured bacterium. RNAcentral describes it as "partial 16S ribosomal RNA". It matches the Rfam family "Bacterial small subunit ribosomal RNA", at positions 338 to 795 of the family's 1533-position model. The record is from RNAcentral.